CAUAAGACUCUCGGCAACGGAUAUCUUGGCUCUCGCAUCGAUGAAGAACGUAGCAAAAUGCGAUACCUGGUGUGAAUUGCAGAAUCCCGUGAACCAUCGAGUUUUUGAACGCAAGUUGCGCCUGAGGCCUCCUGGUUGAGGGCACGUCUGCCUGGGCGUCACG
Molecule: ribosomal RNA, 163 nt
Filed under: Sporobolus africanus
Lineage: Eukaryota; Viridiplantae; Streptophyta; Magnoliopsida; Poales; Poaceae
Description: 5.8S ribosomal RNA
Rfam family: 5.8S ribosomal RNA
About the family: 5.8S ribosomal RNA (5.8S rRNA) is a component of the large subunit of the eukaryotic ribosome. It is transcribed by RNA polymerase I as part of the 45S precursor that also contains 18S and 28S rRNA.
Source: RNAcentral